This 495-nucleotide ribosomal RNA is filed under the name uncultured Glomeromycotina. RNAcentral's name for it is "partial small subunit ribosomal RNA". It matches the Rfam family "Eukaryotic small subunit ribosomal RNA", at positions 591 to 1092 of the family's 1831-position model. The record is from RNAcentral. Lineage: Eukaryota; Fungi; Glomeromycota.
CCAAUAGCGUAUAUUAAAGUUGUUGUGGUUAAAAAGCUCGUAGUUGAACCUUGGGCCUGGCUGGCCGGUCCGCCUCACCGCGUGUACUGGUCCGGCCGGGCCUUUCCCUCUGUGGAACCUCAUGCCCUUCACUGGGUGUGACGGGGAAGCAGGACUUUUACUGUGAAAAAAUUAGAGUGCUCCAAGCAGGCCUAUGCUCGAAUACAUUAGCAUGGAAUAAUGAAAUAGGACGUGCGGUUCUAUUUUGUUGGUUUCUAGGACCGCCGUAAUGAUUAAUAGGGACAGUCGGGGGCAUCAGUAUUCAAUUGUCAGAGGUGAAAUUCUUGGAUUUAUUGAAGACUAACUACUGCGAAAGCAUUUGCCAAGGAUGUUUUCAUUAAUCAGGAACGAAAGUUAGGGGAUCGAAGACGAUCAGAUACCGUCGUAGUCUUAACCAUAAACUAUGCCGACUAGGGAUCGGACGAUGUUAUUUUUUGACUCGUUCGGCACCUUACG